AGCGAACGCUGGCGGCAGGCUUAACACAUGCAAGUCGAGCGGGCCUUUCGGGGUCAGCGGCGGACGGGUGAGUAACGCGUGGGAACGUGCCCUCUGGUUCGGAAUAACUCAGGGAAACUUGAGCUAAUACCGGAUACGCCCUUUUGGGGAAAGGCUUGCUGCCGGAGGAUCGGCCCGCGUCUGAUUAGCUAGUUGGUGAGGUAACGGCUCACCAAGGCGACGAUCAGUAGCUGGUCUGAGAGGAUGAUCAGCCACACUGGGACUGAGACACGGCCCAGACUCCUACGGGAGGCAGCAGUGGGGAAUAUUGGAAAAUGGGCGCAAGCCUGAUGCAGCCAUGCCGCGUGAGUGAUGAAGGCCUUAGGGUUGUAAAGCUCUUUUAUCCGGGACGAUAAUGACGGUACCGGAGGAAUAAGCCCCGGCUAACUUCGUG
This 433-nucleotide ribosomal RNA is filed under the name uncultured bacterium. RNAcentral describes it as "partial 16S ribosomal RNA". It matches the Rfam family "Bacterial small subunit ribosomal RNA", at positions 29 to 507 of the family's 1533-position model. The record is from RNAcentral.